Molecule: transfer RNA, 85 nt
Filed under: Flavobacteriaceae bacterium
Lineage: Bacteria; Pseudomonadati; Bacteroidota; Flavobacteriia; Flavobacteriales; Flavobacteriaceae
Also listed under: 1 other name
Description: tRNA-Ser
Rfam family: tRNA
About the family: Transfer RNA (tRNA) molecules are approximately 80 nucleotides in length. Their secondary structure includes four short double-helical elements and three loops (D, anti-codon, and T loops). Further hydrogen bonds mediate the characteristic L-shaped molecular structure. tRNAs have two regions of fundamental functional importance: the anti-codon, which is responsible for specific mRNA codon recognition, and the 3' end, to which the tRNAs corresponding amino acid is attached (by aminoacyl-tRNA synthetases). tRNAs cope with the degeneracy of the genetic code in two manners: having more than one tRNA (with a specific anti-codon) for a particular amino acid; and 'wobble' base-pairing, i.e. permitting non-standard base-pairing at the 3rd anti-codon position.
Source: RNAcentral
GGAGAGUUGCCGGAGUGGUUAACGGAGCAGUUUGCUAAACUGUCGGCGGGAAACCGUCGCGUGGGUUCGAAUCCCACACUCUCCG